ACCGCUAGGGGAGCACAUCGCUGAGAUUGAAUGUAAAUUCUAACCCUCACUACUUGAACCGGAUAAUACCGGCGUAAGGAAGCAUUUUUAU
This 91-nucleotide non-coding RNA is filed under the name uncultured Acetatifactor sp. Lineage: Bacteria; Bacillati; Bacillota; Clostridia; Lachnospirales; Lachnospiraceae. The record is from RNAcentral.